GACGAACGCUGGCGGCGUGCUUAACACAUGCAAGUCGAACGGUGAACGAGGGAGCUUGCUCCCUCCGGAUCAGUGGCGAACGGGUGAGUAACACGUGAGCAAUCUGCCCCGAACUCUGGGAUAAGCGUUGGAAACGACGUCUAAUACCGGAUACGACGCGGGAGGGCAUCCUCUCCGCGUGGAAAGAAAUGCGGUUCGGGAUGAGCUCGCGGCCUAUCAGCUUGUUGGUGAGGUAACGGCUCACCAAGGCGACGACGGGUAGCCGGCCUGAGAGGGUGACCGGCCACACUGGGACUGAGACACGGCCCAGACUCCUACGGGAGGCAGCAGUGGGGAAUAUUGCACAAUGGGCGCAAGCCUGAUGCAGCAACGCCGCGUGAGGGACGACGGCCUUCGGGUUGUAAACCUCUUUUAGCAGGGAAGAAGCGAAAGUGACGGUACCUGCAGAAAAAGCACCGGCUAACUACGUG
Molecule: ribosomal RNA, 470 nt
Filed under: uncultured bacterium
Lineage: Bacteria
Description: partial 16S ribosomal RNA
Rfam family: Bacterial small subunit ribosomal RNA
Source: RNAcentral